Molecule: ribosomal RNA, 253 nt
Filed under: uncultured bacterium
Lineage: Bacteria
Description: partial 16S ribosomal RNA
Rfam family: Bacterial small subunit ribosomal RNA
Source: RNAcentral
UACAGAGACUGCAAGCGUUGUUCGGAUUCAUUGGGCGUAAAGGGUCCGUAGGCGGUCGGUUAAGUCGGAUGUGAAAUCUCGUGGCCUAACCACGAGCGGUCAUUCGAAACUAAUCGGCUAGAGGGCUGGAGAGGAGACUGGAAUUGUCGGUGUAGCGGUGAAAUGCGUAGAGAUCGACAAGAACACCGGUGGCGAAGGCGGGUCUCUGGACAGUUCCUGACGCUGAGGGACGAAAGCUAGGGGAGCAAACAGG